Molecule: ribosomal RNA, 460 nt
Filed under: uncultured bacterium
Lineage: Bacteria
Description: partial 16S ribosomal RNA
Rfam family: Bacterial small subunit ribosomal RNA
Source: RNAcentral
CCUACGGGAGGCAGCAGUGAGGAAUAUUGGUCAAUGGGCGAGAGCCUGAACCAGCCAAGUAGCGUGAAGGAUGACUGCCCUAUGGGUUGUAAACUUCUUUUAUAUAGGAAUAAAGUGAGGCACGUGUGCCAUUUUGUAUGUACCUUAUGAAUAAGGAUCGGCUAACUCCGUGCCAGCAGCCGCGGUAAUACGGAGGAUCCGAGCGUUAUCCGGAUUUAUUGGGUUUAACGGGCGCGUAGAUGGGUUGUUAAGUCAGUUGUGAAAGUUUGCGGCUCAACCGUAAAAUUGCAGUUGAUACUGGCAGUCUUGAGUACAGUAGAGGUAGGCGGAAUUCGUGGUGUAGCGGUGAAAUGCUUAGAUAUCACGAAGAACUCCGAUUGCGAAGGCAGCUUACUAGACUGCAACUGACAUUGAGGCUCGAAAGUGUGGGUAUCAAACAGGAUUAGAUACCCGUGUAGUC